GUGGAUAACCUGCCUUGCACUGGGGGAUAACACUUAGAAAUAGGUGCUAAUACCGCAUAAGCGCACAGAGCCGCAUGGCUCAGUGUGAAAAACUCCGGUGGUGUAAGAUGGAUCCGCGUCUGAUUAGCUAGUUGGCGGGGUAGAAGCCCACCAAGGCGACGAUCAGUAGCCGGCCUGAGAGGGUGAACGGCCACAUUGGGACUGAGACACGGCCCAAACUCCUACGGGAGGCAGCAGUGGGGAAUAUUGCACAAUGGGGGAAACCCUGAUGCAGCAACGCCGCGUGAGUGAAGAAGUCAUUCGUGAUGUAAAGCUCUAUCAGCAGGGAAGAAAAUGACGGUACCUGAGUAAGAAGCCCCGGCUAACUACGUGCCAGCAGCCGCGGUAAUACGUAGGGGGCAAGCGUUAUCCGGAUUUACUGGGUGUAAAGGGAGCGUAGACGGCCAGACAAGUCUGAAGUGAAAAUCCAGCGCUUAACGUUGGAAGUGCUUUGGAAACUGCCGGGCUGGAGUGCAGGAGGGGCAGGCGGAAUUCCUAGUGUAGCGGUGAAAUGCGUAGAUAUUAGGAGGAACACCAGUGGCGAAGGCGGCCUGCUGGACUGCAACUGACGUUGAGGCUCGAAGGCGUGGGGAGCAAACAGGAUUAGAUACCCUGGUAGUCCACGCGGUAAACGAUGAUUACUAGGUGUCGGGGGGCUAGAGCCCUUCGGUGCCGUCGCAAACGCAAUAAGUAAUCCACCUGGGGAGUACGUUCGCAAGAAUGAAACUCAAAGGA
Molecule: ribosomal RNA, 774 nt
Filed under: uncultured bacterium
Lineage: Bacteria
Description: bacterial SSU rRNA
Rfam family: Bacterial small subunit ribosomal RNA
Source: RNAcentral